RNAcentral lists this unclassified non-coding RNA (335 nucleotides) under soil metagenome. Its description in RNAcentral is "partial contains 5.8S ribosomal RNA, internal transcribed spacer 2, and large subunit ribosomal RNA". The stretch from base 1 to 120 matches the Rfam family "5.8S ribosomal RNA", at positions 35 to 154 of the family's 154-position model. The record is from RNAcentral.
GAUGAAGAACGCAGCGAAAUGCGAUAAGUAAUGUGAAUUGCAGAAUUCAGUGAAUCAUCGAAUCUUUGAACGCACAUUGCGCCCAUUAGUAUUCUAGUGGGCAUGCCUGUUCGAGCGACAUUUCAACCCUUAAGCCUAGCUUAGUAUUGGGAAUCGACUUUACUGUCGUUCCUCAAAUUCAACGGCGGAUUUAUAGCAAUCUCUGAACGUAGUAAUUUUUUUCCUCGUUUUUGAAAUACUAUAAACCUCAGCCGCUAAACCCCCAAUUUUUCUAUGGUUGACCUCGGAUCAGGUAGGAAUACCCGCUGAACUUAAGCAUAUCAAUAAGCGGAGGA